GGGGGGKCUUAMCAUGCAGUCGACGAUGAGCCCUUCGGGGUGGAUUAGUGGCGAACGGGUGAGUAACACGUGGGCAAUCUGCCCUUCACUCUGGGACAAGCCCUGGAAACGGGGUCUAAUACCGGAUACGAGUUCGGGAGGCAUCUCCUGGACUGGAAAGCUCCGGCGGUGAAGGAUGAGCCCGCGGCCUAUCAGCUUGUUGGUGGGGUAACGGCCCACCAAGGCGACGACGGGUAGCCGGCCUGAGAGGGCGACCGGCCACACUGGGACUGAGACACGGCCCAGACUCCUACGGGAGGCAGCAGUGGGGAAUAUUGCACAAUGGGCGAAAGCCUGAUGCAGCGACGCCGCGUGAGGGAUGACGGCCUUCGGGUUGUAAACCUCUUUCAGCAGGGAAGAAGCGAGAGUGACGGUACCUGCAGAAGAAGCGCCGGCUAACUACGUGCCAGCAGCCGCGGUAAUACGUAGGGCGCAAGCGUUGUCCGGAAUUAUUGGGCGUAAAGAGCUCGUAGGCGGCUUGUCACGUCGGGUGUGAAAGCCCGGGGCUUAACCCCGGGUCUGCAUCCGAUACGGGCAGGCUAGAGUGUGGUAGGGGAGAUCGGAAUUCCUGG
Molecule: ribosomal RNA, 611 nt
Filed under: Streptomyces sp. AZLA2
Lineage: Bacteria; Bacillati; Actinomycetota; Actinomycetes; Kitasatosporales; Streptomycetaceae
Description: bacterial SSU rRNA
Rfam family: Bacterial small subunit ribosomal RNA
Source: RNAcentral